AAAGGUAAAUACACAGAAUUUAAAAGCAUAUGAAAGGCAUUAACCGUCAACUUGUCUUGAGAGAGAGAAUCUCCUUUCUCUUAUUUAAACUUUGACAUUUUAUAUCCGAGAAAACAUGAAAAAAUAUAGAAAAAAAAAAUAUUUUCCCCCUUAAUUUUCUUGCAAUGCCACUGGUUCAGGUCCUGAUCAUAUUUUUUUAUGAUUAGGUCUUUCUUUCUGUAUAAGUUACAAUCUGAAGCCAUCAUCCAUCGUCUCAAGCUGGGAGAUUUACUAUCUCAAUAGGCAACUCUAUGAAUCGACAGAUCAAAAUGGUGAAAUGGAUGGGUUUUUGUUGCGCUUGCAAAAUGAACUGAAAGAAGCUGUUGUUAAAGAGGAACCCAAUCUGCAUAUCUAUCCAAGCAAAGAUGUGGACAUGUGAGUGGUUUAUUUGAUUGCUGUUUCUUUGUUUUGCUAUUAAUUUGUUUCGACGUGGACUGAAAAUGUCCAGGAUCUUGAAUUAUGAUGAAGAAGAUUUGAAAGAAGAAAUCCCCAGCACUCCAACAGACAAAUCUCUAAAACUCUACUUGGAGCCAUCUGAUUCAACAUCCAAAUUGUGUGUAAAUGGCUAUUCUUUUGGGAAACCAUCAGAACAUGUGACACCCUUUGGACGAUGUACUGAUAAGUUUGUGGUCAAAUUCAACAUUGAUAACCUUUCAGAUGUGGAGAACGAUGAUGAUGAGCAUGGCCAUGGGAAACUUGAGGAUGAAAUUAUUAAGAGGGCUUAACCCUUGCAAGAGGUGUUCUUGAUAGUCCAUGGAUUGGGACCAGAUCCUGGUUGAAGGUUCAUGUAUGAGAGGAUUGAAGAUAGGUUUAAUGCACUUGAAAAUGGGAUUAGAAAGUACGCAACUGCACUUUUCACUUCUAGGCUGAUGAGGAACCGAGGGACCCCACAGUUGAGGUAACUUGGCUGCUGUUUGCUUUAAUGAUAUUUAUGUAACUUGGCUGCUGUUUGCUUUAAUGAUAUUUAUGUAUUUAUUCGCAUUCAGAUAAGUACAAUCAUUUCAGCAUGUAAUACCAUGGCUUGCUUAUCUUUGAUGGAUAUAAAUAACUGUAUAGGGACCCUGACAUAUCAAUUUUGUUAUUAUUUCUUGUAUCCGGGGGACCCUGACAUAUCAAUUAUGUAAGUAUUUCUUGUAUCCAGGUUUCUUCCUACACCCUCUUCUUUUAUUGGCUUUUUUUUGGGCUAAAAAAUAAGAUUUUUUUAGUUGGCCUUUGAUGAAUUAAUUGCUCUCUAAAUUCUUCGUUAUGCUUUAUGUUAAGAACUUCCAUGCUUAUAAAGUCGUGCAUUCGUGCAUUUGAUUUGAACUAUUGUUUCAAAGAAGUAUAUUUGCUGUUGGAAUGAUUUGUUGUGAUGGAGAAGGGCGUCUAAAUGAGAAGGUCCAUCAUGCUGCAAAGCAGGUAGAAGAAGUGCCAGGAGUUUCCUUUAUGCUAUUCAUUUGCAUCAAUCAACUUGGAAGGGACAUGUAUAUUAGGAAUUUCAUGAUCAAGUAGAUUUACUUGCUGGUAUCUUUAAGCAAUACUGCAACGAUGCCAAUUGAUGGUCUGAAAUAUGGUCUCUUUGGAAGAAAUCUGUGUGUCAGGCAAUGUGAUAAACAUAACUGUAUUGGCCUCUCCAAAGUCCCUGCUUGGCCAUGUUUGUCCCUGACGGGGUUGUGUCCAGGAUAAAGCAGGACCAAGUUUUCCAAUCCCUUGAUUUGUAGUCAAAAGAUCUGACAGACGAGGUGUUCUUGGAUAUUUUUGUCAUAUGAAAGAUAGUCACAGGGAGGAGACUGUUAAAUGCUAAUCCUGAUUAUGUGUGCCAUAUCUUUGCAAUAGUAAUAUCAGCUGUAUGUAGCUUUGUCUUCUGCAUUACACGGGGAUAUUAGAAUAACACUGUUUCUUGUGUUUGAUCAUACGCCACACAUACCAUGUUGUGUUAUUUCUUGUGUUUGAUCAUACGCCACACAUACCAUGUUUCAUAGCUGUUGCUGGCGUGGAUGGUAUAAAUGAUUCACUUUUAUGGGAUUAAAAUUGUAGAGCAUUUGACAGAAAACAUGGAAUUAAAAUAACUACUUUAGACAAUAAUUCACUUAUCUGUCAAUGUUUUAAUUCAUAAGUCGCAUUAGAUAUAAUAUUAAAUUGAGCGCUCGCAUUUGCUCUCUAGUAUUCCUGCAAUCUUUCAAUCCUAAGGAAAUAAUUCUGUUGUCUUAACAGCUUAUUACUUCGGGUCCUUCUACCACAACAGACAGCUUAUUAUUUGAGCCUCUGACUGAGCUGCAAGCAUACGCAGGCAGAAAGUUACCUUAAUUACUUAUACUAGUAUGAUUUUUCUAUUCUUGAAUCUAAUAUCAUGCUUGGGUUCCUUGCUGUCUCUGGAAAUAUCACGCCAGACUUAUUGGCGCUGUUCUUAGAUGGGGCUAUUACUUGAUUCUGAAAAUUCAGAGAUUAAGAAAGGGACUGUAGGCAGGAGCUUUGAUGAGUUGUUUUGUCUGGAAAUAAUGAGAAGGGUAACUAGUCAAAAAGUGGUGAAUUGUCUCCAGAAGCUCUUCACAUCACCUCAGUUCCAGAUUUUCUCAUCCUGCCUUCAGACAUGAAGUACUUUAUAAAGGUGAUUUUCCUGGUUGAAGGGGAAGAGCAAAGGAAGUCCAUUUGCAUAAACCCAGGAACACAGGCAAAGGGACAAGGAGGUGGCACUUUUGCUGAGCUCAAGUACCAUGGGAGUCCUGACAAGAUGAAUGCUUCAAUUACUAUAGGCAUACAAAUACUGGACCUAAACUCAGUGAGGGAUGUCCCAAACUCGAAAUGGCACAAAGCUGGAGCACAAGAUCAGAAUUAAAGAUCCAACACACCGAAUGUUCAAUUAAUUGGAACAACAGUGGAUUCUGGAAACUCGUUUUGAUAGAAGAUUUCCGCAUGUUAGUAAAUUAAUUGCAUGGGUUGAGUGAUUCAUGACCACCGGGAUCAAUCUUGUUCUUUUCUAACAAUCGAACUCAGCAUAUUUGGUAUAAAUACAUACUGUAUUAUAUUCAUUCA
Long non-coding RNA from Populus trichocarpa (black cottonwood), 3051 nucleotides. RefSeq lists it as uncharacterized. Lineage: Eukaryota; Viridiplantae; Streptophyta; Magnoliopsida; Malpighiales; Salicaceae. The transcript has 4 exons. The record is from RefSeq and is a predicted model, not a curated record.